AUUGAACGCUGGCGGCAGGCCUAACACAUGCAAGUCGAGCGGAUGAAGGGAGCUUGCUCCUGGAUUCAGCGGCGGACGGGUGAGUAAUGCCUAGGAAUCUGCCUGGUAGUGGGGGAUAACGUCCGGAAACGGGCGCUAAUACCGCAUACGUCCUGAGGGAGAAAGUGGGGGAUCUUCGGACCUCACGCUAUCAGAUGAGCCUAGGUCGGAUUAGCUAGUUGGUGGGGUAAAGGCCUACCAAGGCGACGAUCCGUAACUGGUCUGAGAGGAUGAUCAGUCACACGGGAACUGAGACACGGUCCAGACUCCUACGGGAGGCAGCAGUGGGGAAUAUUGGACAAAGGGCGAAAGCCUGAUCCAGCCAUGCCGCGUGUGUGAAGAAGGUCUUCGGAUUGUAAAGCACUUUAAGUUGGGAGGAAGGGCAGUAAGUUAAUACCUUGCUGUUUUGACGUUACCAACAGAAUAAGCACCGGCUAACUUCGUG
RNAcentral lists this ribosomal RNA (484 nucleotides) under uncultured bacterium. RNAcentral describes it as "partial 16S ribosomal RNA". It matches the Rfam family "Bacterial small subunit ribosomal RNA", at positions 30 to 507 of the family's 1533-position model. The record is from RNAcentral.